GGGAGCAAAGAGGAGAGAAAACAGUGCUGCUCUUGCCAGUUCCAUGAGCUCCAAGGAAAAGAAACAGAAACAAGUAACAUGAGCAAGAACAUCAAAAUGGGGCUGAGAGCAGGGUGGGGAGCUCGGCGCCCGUGAGGCAGACUUUAGAAAGAAGCUGUUCCCAGAUGGUUGCCAGGAGAUCGCUGUGUUGUGCCAGUGUCAUCUGUGAACUGAAAGGCGGGGAGCUUUACCCUUGGAAGGGUGGAAACAAGAUCUCAACAAUGGUGGAGACAAGACAAGAAGGACCACGUGGGAUAUCCUUAUUGUUAAUUGAUGUAGAAAGACCCAGGCCACUGUGAGCAGUGCCAUUCCCUGGGAAGAUGAUCCUGGGAGUCUGAGUCUCUGAGUGAGUCAGCAAGCGUCGCUCCUCUACAGCUCCUGCAUUGAGUUCCUGCCCUGACUUCCUUCAAUGUUGACCCAUGACCUUUAAGUGUAAACUGAAAUAAACUGGAUCUUCCUCUAA
Mesocricetus auratus (golden hamster) is the source of this 502-nucleotide long non-coding RNA. RefSeq lists it as uncharacterized. The record is from RefSeq and is a predicted model, not a curated record. NCBI's taxonomy places the organism in Eukaryota, Metazoa, Chordata, Mammalia, Rodentia, Cricetidae. The transcript is spliced from 2 exons.